CCAGUCAGGUGCUCCUGGGCUCCGGUCUCACCAUCCUGUCCCAGCCGCUCAUGUACGUGAAAGUGCUCAUCCAGGUGGGAUAUGAGCCUCUUCCUCCAACAAUAGGACGAAAUAUUUUUGGGCGGCAAGUGUGUCAGCUUCCUGGUCUCUUUAGUUAUGCUCAGCACAUUGCCAGUAUCGAUGGGAGGCGCGGGUUGUUCACAGGCUUAACUCCAAGACUGUGUUCGGGAGUCCUUGGAACUGUGGUCCAUGGUAAAGUUUUACAGCAUUACCAGGAGAGUGACAAGGGUGAGGAGUUAGGACCUGGAAAUGUACAGAAAGAAGUCUCAUCUUCCUUUGACCACGUUAUCAAGGAGACAGAACGAGAAUGCAGGGGUCUCUUCCCUCCCCUGGGGUUUAGGAAGCUCAUGAGGAGCUCGGCUUAAAAUGUCUUUGAUGUCUCUUCCUUUGUCUCAAAAAGUAAUGUCAAUUUUAUAUACUAUUUCGAUAUUACUAUCUGCAUUUGUUUUAAUAUAAAAAUGUUUGCUGCCUACCUUUUUCUCCCAAAAAAUCUUUAAGUAAAGAUGAUCUGGGAAAAUGUG
This 581-nucleotide small RNA is filed under the name Pan troglodytes (chimpanzee). Its description in RNAcentral is "processed transcript". The record is from RNAcentral. Lineage: Eukaryota; Metazoa; Chordata; Mammalia; Primates; Hominidae.